UAUUAUUAUUGCUUUAUGAAAAAACAAAUAUGUUUUUUAUUCUGUAACAGUCAACUUUAUUUAAUGCUCCCUUCUUUAGGGGGUAAGGAUAACUAAGAUGGGAAGUUUUAAAAACAGGGGCUCUGGUGCUGUAACUUGUGUAAUUUUAAACUCUGAAGGUCAAAUAAUGUUGUUUUUGCAGAGUUACAGCCACGUGUUUGGUUCCCAUCUCUCCCAUGAACAUUCUAGGGCUGAAAUCUUCAGUUUUGGGCAAAAGGGAAAUGAACUUUUUUCCCCUUUAUCCUGUGAGAAUAUUUGAUGAUGCCUCUCCUAAAACACACAUGCUUGAGGGUAAACUGAAGUCACUCCUCUCUCUCCUUGCUCUGAUCUGAGUGGGUGUUUCUUAGCAGCUUAUUUGCCUACAAAUAAAUAUUUGGUGGUGCUGGGCUUUUGGUGGAGCUCUCCCUGAAUUCAAAGGACAGCAGCAGGAUAAACUCAAAAAGAAGAGAAAACUAUUUUUGUUUCCAUUAAGAAAACAGCUGCAUGCCAUUUGUGGGCCAGUGGAAAUCAAGGUGUGAUUUGACUUCCACAAAAUAUUUCAGAAACAGAAUUCAAGGAGGAAAUUCAUGAGGUCAUUUGAUGCCACAGACAAUUCUCUCUUUAGAACUGAGAGUUUUUGUCUCUGAGGGCUCUUCCUCUUUGCUCUGUGGCUGGCAAUAGAAGAGGAAAUGCAAUAGCUGAAGCUCAUUUGAGCCUGGAAUUCAGAGAAGCUGGAUGGAUGAACUUGGAACAACCUCUGAAGUGAUUACCCUGGCAAGAACAGCGAGUUCCUUGUGAGGAGGCAUUAAAGUCAGCUCAUGUGAUGCACACUUUUGGGUUCCCACUUCCCACAGGAACACAUCAGAAGACAAGGAAGAAGAUGGUUUGUACUGGUGAAUCUCUGCUGAGGAUGGAAGGAGCCAAGAACUUCCAUAACUGCCCUUACAAAGGAUUCCCACCGAGCUUUGUUUUGUGUGACUGUGGAAAAAGAGGUGGAUUUGUGUUGCCUGCAAGCUCAUCCCAGCACUGCUGAGCGCUUUGUUUAUCCAUUCUCCAGAAAAGAUGUGCUGUGCUGUCAUGUUUGAUUGUUAGGAGGUUUUGUGAGGUCUCUGCUGCAAUGACUUUAGGGUUGUUCUGUCCUGAGGCAGGAACACCAAGGCUCUCCUGAGCUCAGCUCAACGCUGAGCUGCCGUGAACUGAACUCUUCAGCGUGCAGGGAACUGUCCCAGUGAGCAGAGCUGUGCUCAUUUACUCCCUGCAGAGAAAUCACAUUUGCUCUCCACAGCAUUUUCUCUUGGGAGGACCAGUUACUGGCUUGUGUCACAGGCAGCCUGCCGCUCCUCAGUGAUUUAUUCCUCCAGGCACACACCGAUCCCUUUCACCGCUCAGGGAUCCAAAUUCCACUCCCCAUCCACUGCAGGAGUGUGUGGGGCUGUGAGCACAGAAAUUGCUCUUGAGUAUCAGUUCCAGUUCAUCUGGUUUUGUUUCUGGUGCAGUGCUGCAGAGUGUUGAGUGUACAAACACACACGUGCUUGCAGGGAUAAAAGGCCUCAGCAGCCUCCUGUAUUCAUUAGCUGACCCAAAUUCUGCCCAGACUUGCAGAGCCUGUCAGGAUAACCAGAAUAGCAGUAGAUAAUCAGGAUGGCAAAAUUCCCCUUCUUCCUUUACCUGCUGCAGCUGGUUUGAGGGCAGUAUAUUUCUAUAAAUAAUAGACAGUAUUCUAUUAGCCUACACAUUAUUAUGCAUAGGGUAACAUUUUUCUUGUUUUAAGGGCGAUUAAAACAACCAAAUUCAAGACAGAAAACAAGGAAUAAGAAUGAGAAAGUGAUGUCAAAAUUUGAUUGCAAGCAUAUGGGUACCUCCCCACAUCCCUUAUGGCUGUCACUGGAUUUCUCUGGUGACAUUACAUUUGUUUCCCUCCUGGAAUUCAAUCUGUGUUUUCUCAUCUGAGUAAAGUUUUAGCAUUUCUGCUCUUUGUUGCUUUCUGCAGGAGCCAUUUAGGAGAUGAGCUGUGUAGGAAUGCAGUAAAAUACUGAGAUGCUCUGCUAGCUGCUGUGGUGAGCAAACCCUGUUGGCUUGGCUUAGGCCAAGUGUCACUUCAGUGUCCCCUGGCACUCAUCACUGCCUGGGACUGCCAGCCCUUUUCAGGCUCCUCCCUAUUGCAAUACAGCUUAUCCAGGCUGGAGCAGGAGAAGGAAAAGAAAUAAUUCAAAAAUAAUCCAGAAGAACGGGGAGGUAACCCACUAUGGACCCUGACUCAUGGGUUUUUUAGCCUUCCUGGUUAAAUAUACAAAGCCAAGGGUUCUGGUGCCUUGCACAGUACAUUAAACAGCUUAAUCACACUGUCCUCUCUCACAUUCAUAAAUUUAGUGUUUGUUCUCCUGAAGCAGCUGUUUUCUUCUCUUGCUCUACUUUAGCUCUUCUUCAGAAUACAAAUUCCAGCUCAUUUCCAUUUUUUUUCCAGACCUAACACUUUAAAGUUUGGUUUUUAACCCUUUAGACCAAAAAUUGAGUUGUUUAAGGACCACUCUUUUAUUUUUCAAAUAAAAUAUUCCUUUGCUGUUAAAUAUUUCCCA
Molecule: long non-coding RNA, 2594 nt
Organism: Cyanistes caeruleus (blue tit)
Lineage: Eukaryota; Metazoa; Chordata; Aves; Passeriformes; Paridae
Source: Ensembl